UUCUUUUUAAACAUAAAAAGUAGACUCUGCUCAAUGAAUUUUGAAUAGCCGCAGUAUCCUGACUGUGCUAAGGUAGCAUAAUAAUUUGUCUUCUAAUAGAAGGCUGGAAUGAAAGAGUUAACGACAUUUUUUCUUUUUUAAAAGAAUUUUUUGAAUUUGGUAUCUAUGUCAAAAAACAUAGCUGGUAAAAGGGACGAUAAGACCCUAUAAAGCUUUACCGAUAGAAAUAUUUAUACUUAGACAAAGAUUAAAAUUUUUAACACGGUUAAGCUGGGGCGGCAUCUAUUAAUAAUCAAUAGAAAAUAAAACAAAAGUUUUUGGAAUUACAAGAUCUCUAAUAAAGAAAUUUAGAACAAGCUACUUUAGGGAUAACAGCACAAUUUUUCCGUAUAGAUCUUAUAGAAGGGAAAGACUUGUGACCUCGAUGUUGAAUUGAAGAGCUCUAUUUAAGCAGAAAUAAAUAAGAGGAGUCUGUUCGACUUUUAAUUCUUC
RNAcentral lists this ribosomal RNA (492 nucleotides) under Betamorpha sp. 2 SB-2021a. Its description in RNAcentral is "partial 16S ribosomal RNA". It matches the Rfam family "Archaeal large subunit ribosomal RNA", at positions 1908 to 2666 of the family's 2987-position model. Lineage: Eukaryota; Metazoa; Arthropoda; Malacostraca; Isopoda; Munnopsidae. The record is from RNAcentral.